Molecule: long non-coding RNA, 1182 nt
Filed under: Homo sapiens (human)
Lineage: Eukaryota; Metazoa; Chordata; Mammalia; Primates; Hominidae
Description: HSALNT0181982
Source: RNAcentral
ACCAGCCAAAUAUUUGAACACUAAAAGGAAGAAUUUUCUUAAUGUGGUAAUGGUAUCAUGGUUGUAUAGAAUGUUCCUCCUCUUGGGAGAUGUGUGUUGAAAAUAGGGUUUGACGUCUAAACCUAUUUUGUUUUGGCAAAAAGGACGUGUGUCUGUACAAAAGAAGUGGAGCCAGUAUGGCAAAAUGUUUACAAGGACUCUGGGUGAGAGGUACAUAGGUGCUUACUAUACUGUUUUGUUUCUGAAUUUGGAAUUUCUCAAAAUUAAAAAAAUAUCUACUGAGGAGCUUUUCGUUUUAACUGGUGGGGAAUGGGUUCUGGGUGGUUUUGCCCCUUUUCUUUUUAGAUUCAAGAAAUCCAUGGUGAAAGGUUUGGAUUCCUAUGAAGAAAAGGAGGAUAAAGUGAUCAAGGAGGUAAGUUAAAGUAGCAGUCCCUCACCCUUUUUGCACCAGGGGCUGGUUUCGUGGAAGACGGUUUUUCCACAGAUGGACCCAGGCAGGGGAUGGUUUCAGAAUGAGACUGCUCCACCUCAGAUCAUCAGGCACUAGAUUCUCAUAAGGAGCACGCAACCUAGAUACCUUGCAUGCCCAGUUCACAAUAGUGUUUGUGCUCCUAUGAGAAUGUAACACCACCACUGAUCUGACAGGAGCUCAGGCGGCAGUGCUGUUGCAGCCUGCUUCCUGACAGGCCACAGACCAGUACUGGUCCACGCCUGGGGGUGGAGGGCCCAAGUUAAAGGAAAGGCCUCUGAAGAAACUGGCCCCCAUGAUCCUGUACCUGUCUAAGCAGCCUCUCUCCCACAGAUGGCAGCUCAGAUCCGUGAGGUGGAGCAGAGCCGACAGGAGGUGGUUCGGUCUGUCUUAGAGGUUGGUUUCCCUCGGAGGAUCCAGACCACCUCAGGCAGUGCCAGACCCAGAAGAGGGCUCUUCAGCACCUAGAAGCUGGAAAGGGAUGAACAGCCAAGUAGCUUCCAGCUUACAGCAGCCCUCAAAUUUGGACCUGCCACCAGCUCCAGAGCUUGACUGGAUGGAGACAGGACCAUCUCUGACAUUCAUUGGCCAUCAGGAUAUACCAGGAGUUGGUAACAUCCACUCAGGUGCCACACCUCCCUGGAUGAUCCAAGAUGAAGAAUACAUUGCUGGGAACCAAGAAAUAGGACCAUCCUAUGAAGAAUUUCUUAAAG